This 327-nucleotide unclassified non-coding RNA is filed under the name soil metagenome. Its description in RNAcentral is "partial contains 5.8S ribosomal RNA, internal transcribed spacer 2, and large subunit ribosomal RNA". The stretch from base 1 to 120 matches the Rfam family "5.8S ribosomal RNA", at positions 35 to 154 of the family's 154-position model. The record is from RNAcentral.
GAUGAAGAACGUAGCAAAAUGCGAUAAGUAAUGUGAAUUGCAGAAUUCAGUGAAUCAUCGAAUCUUUGAACGCACAUUGCGCCCUUUGGUAUUCCGAAGGGCAUGCCUGUACGAGCGUCAUUUCACCACUCAAGCCUGGCUUGGUAUUGGGCGCCGCGGUCGAUCCGCGCGCCUCAAAGUCUCCGGCUGAGCUGUCCGUCUCUAAGCGUUGUGAUUUCAUUAAUCGCUUCGGAGUGCGGGCGGCCGCGGCCGUUAAAUCUUUCACAAGGUUGACCUCGGAUCAGGUAGGGAUACCCGCUGAACUUAAGCAUAUCAAUAAGCGGAGGA